UACGUAGGUGGCAAGCGUUGUCCGGAAUUAUUGGGCGUAAAGCGCGCGCAGGCGGUCCCUUAAGUCUGAUGUGAAAGCCCACGGCUCAACCGUGGAGGGUCAUUGGAAACUGGUAGGCUUGAGUUUGGGAGAGGUUCGUGGAAUUCCAGGUGUAGGGGUGAAAUCCGUAGAGAUCUGGAGGAACACCGGUGGCGAAGGCGACUUUCUGGUCUGUAACUGACGCUGAGGCGCGAAAGCGUGGGGAGCAAACAGG
RNAcentral lists this unclassified non-coding RNA (253 nucleotides) under uncultured Caryophanaceae bacterium. RNAcentral's name for it is "uncultured Planococcaceae bacterium contains 16S-23S intergenic spacer region". It matches the Rfam family "Bacterial small subunit ribosomal RNA", at positions 524 to 776 of the family's 1533-position model. The record is from RNAcentral. Lineage: Bacteria; Bacillati; Bacillota; Bacilli; Caryophanales; Caryophanaceae.